Pelobates cultripes (western spadefoot toad) is the source of this 99-nucleotide non-coding RNA. The record is from the annotation of a GenBank genome assembly. NCBI's taxonomy places the organism in Eukaryota, Metazoa, Chordata, Amphibia, Anura, Pelobatidae.
AAUUUAGUGUGUGUGUGUAUAUAAUGUAGUGUGUGUGUGUGUGUGUGUGUUUAAUGCACACACUACACACACUGCAUUAUAUACACACACACACUGCAU